CCUACGGGAGGCAGCAGUAGGGAAUAUUGCUCAAUGGGGGAAACCCUGAAGCAGCAACGCCGCGUGGAGGAUGAAGGUUUUCGGAUUGUAAACUCCUUUUGUUAGAGAAGAUAAUGACGGUAUCUAACGAAUAAGCACCGGCUAACUCCGUGCCAGCAGCCGCGGUAAUACGGAGGGUGCAAGCGUUACUCGGAAUCACUGGGCGUAUAGAGCGAGUAGGCGGGAUAGAAAGUCAGAUGUGAAAUCCUAUGGCUGAACCAUAGACCUGCAUUUGAAACUGUUAUUCUAGAUGAUGGGAGAGGUAGGUGGAAUUCUUGUGGUAGGGGUAAAUACCAUA
Molecule: ribosomal RNA, 337 nt
Filed under: uncultured bacterium
Lineage: Bacteria
Description: partial 16S ribosomal RNA
Rfam family: Bacterial small subunit ribosomal RNA
Source: RNAcentral